GUGGGGAAUAUUGCACAAUGGGCGCAAGCCUGAUGCAGCAACGCCGCGUGAGGGAUGACGGCCUUCGGGUUGUAAACCUCUUUUAGUAGGGAAGAAGCGUAAGUGACGGUACCUGCAGAAAAAGCACCGGCUAACUACGUGCCAGCAGCCGCGGUAAUACGUAGGGUGCAAGCGUUGUCCGGAAUUAUUGGGCGUAAAGAGCUCGUAGGCGGCUUGUCGCGUCUGCCGUGAAAACCCAGGGCUCAACUCUGGGCGUGCGGUGGGUACGGGCAGGCUAGAGUGCGGUAGGGGAGAUUGGAAUUCCUGGUGUAGCGGUGGAAUGCGCAGAUAUCAGGAGGAACACCGAUGGCGAAGGCAGAUCUCUGGGCCGUAACUGACGCUGAGGAGCGAAAGCAUGGGGAGCGAACAGGAUUAGAUACCCUAGUAGUCC
Molecule: ribosomal RNA, 430 nt
Filed under: uncultured bacterium
Lineage: Bacteria
Description: partial 16S ribosomal RNA
Rfam family: Bacterial small subunit ribosomal RNA
Source: RNAcentral